Molecule: ribosomal RNA, 467 nt
Filed under: uncultured bacterium
Lineage: Bacteria
Description: partial 16S ribosomal RNA
Rfam family: Bacterial small subunit ribosomal RNA
Source: RNAcentral
GACGAACGCUGGCGGCGUGCUUAACACAUGCAAGUCGAACGGAAAGGCCCUGCUUUUGUGGGGUGCUCGAGUGGCGAACGGGUGAGUAACACGUGAGUAACCUGCCCUUGACUUUGGGAUAACUUCAGGAAACUGGGGCUAAUACCGGAUAGGAGCUCCUGCUGCAUGGUGGGGGUUGGAAAGUUUCGGCGGUUGGGGAUGGACUCGCGGCUUAUCAGCUUGUUGGUGGGGUAGUGGCUUACCAAGGCUUUGACGGGUAGCCGGCCUGAGAGGGUGACCGGCCACAUGGGGACGGAGAGACGGCCGAGAGUCCGCAGGGACGCAGCAGCGGGGACGAGUGCACAAUGGGCGGAAGCCUGAUGCAGCAACGCCGGGGGGGGGAUGACGGCCUUCGGGGGGUAAACCGCUGCCGCCUGUGACGAAGCGUGAGGGACGGGAAUGGGUAAAGAAACAGCGGCCAACUACGU